Molecule: long non-coding RNA, 1190 nt
Organism: Arachis stenosperma
Lineage: Eukaryota; Viridiplantae; Streptophyta; Magnoliopsida; Fabales; Fabaceae
Exons: 3
Source: RefSeq, a predicted model, not a curated record
ACAGAAGGGGAAUACGAGAGAAGGGGAAAUAGAGAGGGGUAAAACGAGAGAAGAGGGAGAGCUCAAAGGAGGGGGGAUUAGAGAACGGGAAGGUGAGGGGAAGGGAGAGGCGCUGCCAGUGGUGACCACAGCCACCGUCGCCGCUGACCUUUAGAGGAAAACGAGAGUGAGAGAGAGACACACACAGAACGCGCGACCCGAGGAAGAGAAGGAGCUCGUCUUCGUUGCUGCCAUCGCUGCGCCAUGCUGCCGCUGCCGUGCCUUGCCGCCGCUGCCGGUGGAAGGAACCAAACAAGGAUAGGAGGUCGCUGUUGAUGCUGCCGCAGAGAGGAAGGAAGGGACGCGUGUGAGAAAGUGACACAACAAAGGAGGAGCCGUUCCUCUGCCGCCGCCAGAAUUCCUGGUCGCUGCCGUCGUUCAUGAAGAAAAUUGAGAAUCAAGGAAAGCAUCUUUGUUUAGUAGUAUAUGGCUCGCUGCCACCAGAAACUCAAACAAGGCAGGGAGAGUUGGUAGAUAUGGGACAAAUUUUCCUGUUGGAGAAGUAACAUGCAUAGAUGCAGAGGAUCUACCCUUGCUUAAUUCAUCUUUAAACUCCCCAUCACCCACUUUAAAGGUAACUUGACUUUGAUAACCCUAUAUGUAUGUGUUCCUAGACCAAAAAAGUUGAUGAAGAAGAAAAAAUGAACAAGAAGGCUCACUGUAAGUAUGAAUCACUUUAUAUCAAGCCUUUUGUUGAUAACUUGAUAUGAAUAAAUUUCAUUUCAAGACUUCUAUUUUGAUGAUUUAUGUUUUAACGCUUAAUCUGAUGUAGUGUGCUGGAUUACUUCCUACUUCACACUUUUGCUAUUUUUUGUUUUAUUUACAGGAAAACCAUGUUGAAGGGGAAAACGAACUUAAUUAAGGUCACAAAUUUUGAAGAGCAAAUGUUAGCUAGUAAAAGUCAUGAACUUGUAGACAUGAUGACGAUAAACCUACUUGCUACUUAGCUAUUUCAACUCUCUUUUGUUAUAGUAUUUUUCGCAAAAUUAGAUGAUAUAGUUCAAGGUUGUUAUGACUUAGGCUAGUACUAUAGUAUUUUUAAAAAAGAUGAUGAUAAUUAGAAGUAGUUACGACUUAAACUAGUAUUAUGGUAUUUUGCAAUGAUGAUAUAAUGUGAUUGUAGAUCUUAUGUAUUACUUUAUAAAUCAAAU